GCGAUCGAUGGGAGCUUGCUCCCUGAGAUGAGCGGCGGACGGGUGAGUAACACGUGGGUAACCUGCCUGUAAGACUGGGAUAACUUCGGGAAACCGGAGCUAAUACCGGAUAGGUUCUUCUCUCGCAUGAGAGAGGAUGGAAAGAUGGUUCUGCUAUCACUUACAGAUGGACCCGCGGCGCAUUAGCUAGUUGGUGAGGUAACGGCUCACCAAGGCAACGAUGCGUAACCGACCUGAGAGGGUGAUCGGCCACACUGGGACUGAGACACGGCCCAGACUCCUACGGGAGGCAGCAGUAGGGAAUCUUCCGCAAUGGACGAAAGUCUGACGGAGCAACGCCGCGUGAGCGAAGAAGGCCUUCGGGUCGUAAAGCUCUGUUGUUAGGGAAGAACAAGUACCAGAGUAACUGCUGGUACCUUGACGGUACCUAACCAGAAAGCCACGGCUAACUACGUGCCAGCAGCCGCGGUAAUACGUAGGUGGCAAGCGUUGUCCGGAAUUAUUGGGCGUAAAGCGCGCGCAGGCGGUCCUUUAAGUCUGAUGUGAAAGACCACGGCUUAACCGUGGAGGGUCAUUGGAAACUGGGGGACUUGAGUGCAGAAGAGGAGAGUGGAAUUCCACGUGUAGCGGUGAAAUGCGUAGAGAUGUGGAGGAACACCAGUGGCGAAGGCGACUCUCUGGUCUGUAACUGACGCUGAGGCGCGAAAGCGUGGGGAGCGAACAGGAUUAGAUACCCUGGUAGUCCACGCCGUAAACGAUGAGUGCUAAGUGUUAGAGGGUUUCCGCCCUUUAGUGCUGCAG
RNAcentral lists this ribosomal RNA (801 nucleotides) under uncultured bacterium. Its description in RNAcentral is "bacterial SSU rRNA". It matches the Rfam family "Bacterial small subunit ribosomal RNA", at positions 66 to 851 of the family's 1533-position model. The record is from RNAcentral.